CUCUGUUUCGAAAGAAUCAGGGCGGAAGGAG
This 31-nucleotide non-coding RNA is filed under the name Halalkalibacterium ligniniphilum. RNAcentral's name for it is "L31-Firmicutes ribosomal protein leader". It matches the Rfam family "L31-Firmicutes ribosomal protein leader". Lineage: Bacteria; Bacillati; Bacillota; Bacilli; Caryophanales; Bacillaceae. The record is from RNAcentral.